GGGUCCACCCUGACCCACAAGCCCACACACCUACCACCAGGUCACAGGUUGGCUGGCUCAACCCCAGAGUGGUGCUCCCACUGCUGUGAAACAUAAAUAAAAAGACCUCAAUCACAACCACAGUCAAAAAUGGCAAGAUAUAGACGACGCAGCAGGAGCCGGAGUAGGAGCAGAUACCGACGCCGGAGGAGAAGACGAAGCAGAGGAAGACGAAGGAGGACAUACAGGAGAAGCCGGAGACAUUCGAGAAGGAGAAGAGGAAGAAGGAGAGGGUAUUCUCGCAGGAGAUAUUCUCGCAGGGGAAGAAGAAGAUACUAAGACAGCAAAUAGCAAAACUCCACCUGAACUCCUGCUUGAGAAUUUAACCAAAUUCAUCUGGAUCUUCUGACCAUCAUGAAACAGCAAAAUCAUUUCCACCAAGAUGCACACCUAUGGUGACUGCCACAAAACAGGAGCCUGCUACUGAACAAUGCCACCUGUCAAUAAAUUCUGAAAAUUCAGUC
Sarcophilus harrisii (Tasmanian devil) is the source of this 503-nucleotide long non-coding RNA. RefSeq lists it as uncharacterized. The record is from RefSeq and is a predicted model, not a curated record. The transcript has 2 exons. NCBI's taxonomy places the organism in Eukaryota, Metazoa, Chordata, Mammalia, Dasyuromorphia, Dasyuridae.